GAUGAACGCUGGCGGCGUGCUUAACACAUGCAAGUCGAACGAUGAAGCCCAGCUUGCUGGGUGGAUUAGUGGCGAACGGGUGAGUAACACGUGAGUAACCUGCCCUUAACUCUGGGAUAAGCCUGGGAAACUGGGUCUAAUACCGGAUAGGAGCGCCUACCGCAUGGUGGGUGUUGGAAAGAUUUAUCGGUUUUGGAUGGACUCGCGGCCUAUCAGCUUGUUGGUGAGGUAAUGGCUCACCAAGGCGACGACGGGUAGCCGGCCUGAGAGGGUGACCGGCCACACUGGGACUGAGACACGGCCCAGACUCCUACGGGGGGCAGCAGUGGGGAAUAUUGCACAAUGGGCGAAAGCCUGAUGCAGCGACGCCGCGUGAGGGAUGACGGCCUUCGGGUUGUAAACCUCUUUCAGUAGGGAAGAAGCGAAAGUGACGGUACCUGCAGAAGAAGCACCGGCUAACUACGUG
Molecule: ribosomal RNA, 466 nt
Filed under: uncultured bacterium
Lineage: Bacteria
Description: partial 16S ribosomal RNA
Rfam family: Bacterial small subunit ribosomal RNA
Source: RNAcentral